Molecule: long non-coding RNA, 2956 nt
Organism: Papaver somniferum (opium poppy)
Lineage: Eukaryota; Viridiplantae; Streptophyta; Magnoliopsida; Ranunculales; Papaveraceae
Exons: 8
Source: RefSeq, a predicted model, not a curated record
GAACAAAAAUCGAAAGAAAAAAAAAACUCUUCUUCUUCCUUCUUCUCCCCUAUUCAGCACAAAAAAGAAUUCUCUUUUCUUCUCCGUCCUUUCUUCUUCUCGAUUCUCUCUGUUUUUUCUGCUAUUGGUUUUAUUUUGUAGGUGCGGUUUUUGAAGAAGAGACAAAUAACUAAAUCCAGUUCUGUAUUGGUAAACCCUAACUCUUGAGAAGCUGAAAUAUAACCCUAACCCUAACUAAAUAUGUGGAAUCGGAGCUGAAAUUGAUAUGGGUUUGUUGAGAUAAGGGUUAUGGAGAACUAAGAUUGAUGAUUAAGUUAAGAGAACUGAAGAAUUUCAGAAACUAGGGUUUGGUUUUGGGAAGAGCAGCUGAAACUGAUUCUUAUUAAUUCGUUUCCUAGCCCUAAUCUUCAAACGACGUCAACAAAUAAAGAUGUGCAAGAGCAUCAUCCUUCUGACAUUUUCUAUCGAUUUGAUUUCUUUUAAUUUUUCUUUGUACUCUAGGUAUUUGCCAUUGAUUUUUUCCAGACCACAGGAUUUGGAAGUGCAAAUAGACCUUUUUUCGAUGAUUACACAAAUUAUUCAGAUUACCAGGAUGUAGGUGGUGAUGAGUGACGCAGCUGGAUGUCAUGGCACCAUUAACAUGGAUAUGAUCUUUAAGAUGAUGGACCGAAUAAGAUAUGGUUCGGUUUAGUUGUUGUUUGGUUUUCAAGCCACAGCAAAAGCCCCUUCCCGCGGUUCACAGCUACCACCAUCAGCAACACAACACCUUCUUAGGCUAAUACCACCAGUACCUUGCAUUCGCAACACCAUCCAUCACAUGCAGCUGCGUAUCCUUUUGUUGUAUUUUUUUGUGCAGGUGCACAAAUUGAAGAAACGAUAUCGAGAAUCCAGUGAGAACAUAGAUAUUGAUGAACUUCAGCUUUCUCUUUCCAUGUUGCCUUUCAAUCUGGAAUGGAUGUGAACUAAAACCCGAUGAGACAACAUAGACGUGUUAAAGUAAAGAAGAAGAAAAAAUCUAAACUUGCUAGAGAAUGGUGGAGGGAAGCGAAUUCUACUGGUGGUAGUUAGGAGGAUGAGAUAAUUGGUGCAGAGAUGAAGGUAUGAAUGUUGGUAUUAAAAAGAAGAAGAAAAUGGGUUGGAGUAGAAAGUAGUACAGGGGGAUGGAAGUAUUAGUCGAGAUUGGGCAAGUGGAUUAAUCCAUAAAAGUGGCUUGAGGGGGAUUUUGCCGGAAUACAUUUUGGAUUGUCGAUGGAGUUCAACAUUAAGGCACUCUUGACUAUUUUUAUUUGGUAUCAUUGGUUUUACAGGUGAUUUACGCUUUUCUUUAGCACCAUGCAUAUUGUUGUCUCCUUUUUUGCAUCUCUAUGAACUACUGAGAUUCUCAAUUGUCUUUUUUGAAAGUUCUUCCGAUGAAUAUUGCUUUGGCGCCUUGAUAUACGUAUUAGAGGCUGUGAAUGUAAAGGAUUUUAUUAGUCUGUAUCACCUGCUAUUUGGUGGGCAGGCACUAAGAAACUUUUCUAUAUUUGGAUUUGUAUGAUUUGGUUCAUGUUUUCGCAGUUACGGUCUAUGACUUAUUUUUACCUUGGCUACUGCUGAUAAUCCCGGCUUCUUAAUUUUUCAUGGACAUUAGAGUUGGCAGUAGUUGCGAGGGCAAGUUGAAUCAAUGGCAACAUCGUGUUCGGGAUCAGGAUGUGAGGUGACGACAAAAUUUCAGGUUGAGACUGAGUUGGAGUGUGAGAAUCAAGAUACUAUGUGAUUCUGGAAACUUCGGUUUUGGGCGUGACUUCCUGGUGCAUAAGAGUUUCCAGUAUUACAUCACUUCUUGGUUGCUCAUAUUAGAUGAAUACUAAGUCCCCGAGCCUCAUGUUGAAAUGUUUGUCUACCAGGUUUGCCAAUUGAUUAGAUGUAUGUGUGUUCUCAUGGGGAUGUGAAACUCCCAUUCCAGAGAUAUCGUAACUCCUAAUAUCACUUCCCAUGGAGUAUUGUUCAUGAAAAUUGAGGAAAGAGAAACGUAAGGUGAAAACUUCGACAAUCUGAGAUGAGCAUCCAUACGAAGGUGUCAAUACUAAGGUCAUCAAAGACAAUGAUAGGGAAGAGAAGUAAUUUAGGAAAAUUUCUUCUCCUUGACAUCUGGAGAAGAAUGACAAACCAGUUGAUCUAAGGUGUCCAAGGGAUGGAUUAUGUGCCUGAGCUGGUGAUUUAAAUGAUGCACUUGCAUUUUUGUUCACUUAAUCUUUUGAUCUCCGUGAAAGGUAUGUGCUAACUCUUUUAAUGCAGAUGGAUAAUGCUUUAAUUGAUGAUUGGUGGAUCAGUCAGACUGUUUCUAAGCUGUGGUCUCAAUACAGGCGUAAAGAGCAUCAAACUGGUAAAGGUUGAGAUACCACUGCCGACUUUGAUGGUGUUGUAGAUGAUAAAAGUAACAUAGACCUCAUGCAAUGAUUUUUCGUAGGGGGAUGUUGAAUGUGGACGAGCUUCUGAACCUCCAACUAUUAUCCCUGACAAGUUGAAGGAAGAUUGAACGGAUGCGCUACAAGAAGUAUGAAUGGAAGUUCAUGAAUUUUCUUGAGUUUUGGACAAGUGUUGUCUGUGCAUAGAGUUCUGAACCUGACUUCCGGCCCCGGCUUAUCCCUUUGCUCAAUCACAUUGUUGCUCCUUUGGGUACUUUGAUUCCUGGAUUUUUACUGACGAUGAACAACCAUCUAGAUCAAAGCGUACUACGGAUUCCGGUGAUGAUGUCCACGUGGUUUCUGGAAUUGAUGCGUAGUUGCUCAUUAAGAAAUGCACACACUAUGAAAUUUGAAUAACACAUUAGUAGUUUGUUCUUUUCCCUGUUUUUAUAACUUCUGAGGUAGUUCAAUUAGUUAGGACAGCCAAUAUGUUAGAAUGCCAUGUUUCUUAAUGUUUGCACUGUGAAGUGGAACUAUCAUUCAUCUAUUGCAGUCCAAUUAUUCUGCCA